Molecule: ribosomal RNA, 407 nt
Filed under: uncultured Brevibacterium sp.
Lineage: Bacteria; Bacillati; Actinomycetota; Actinomycetes; Micrococcales; Brevibacteriaceae
Description: bacterial SSU rRNA
Rfam family: Bacterial small subunit ribosomal RNA
Source: RNAcentral
GUGGGGAAUAUUGCACAAUGGGGGAAACCCUGAUGCAGCGACGCCGCGUGGGGGAUGACGGCCUUCGGGUUGUAAACCUCUUUCAGUAGGGAAGAAGCCUUUGGGUGACGGUACCUGCAGAAGAAGUACCGGCUAACUACGUGCCAGCAGCCGCGGUAAUACGUAGGGUACAAGCGUUGUCCGGAAUUAUUGGGCGUAAAGAGCUCGUAGGUGGUUUGUCGCGUCUGCUGUGGAAUCGUGCCGCUUAACGGUGCGCGUGCAGUGGGUACGGGCAGACUGGAGUGCAGUAGGGGAGUCUGGAAUUCCUGGUGUAGCGGUGAAAUGCGCAGAUAUCAGGAGGAACACCGGUGGCGAAGGCGGGACUCUGGGCUGUUACUGACGCUGAGGAGCGAAAGCAUGGGGAGCGA